UACAGAGGGUGCAAGCGUUAUUCGGAAUCACUGGGCGUAAAGAGCGCGUAGGCGGUUCAAUAAGUCCGAUGUGAAAUCCCUGGACUCAAUCCAGGAACUGCAUCGGAUACUGUUGAACUUGAGUAUAGGAGAGGACAGCGGAAUUCUAGGUGUAGAGGUGAAAUUCGUAGAUAUCUAGAGGAACAACAGAAGCGAAGGCGGCUGUCUGGACUAUUACUGACGCUGAGGCGCGAAAGCGUGGGGAGCAAACAGG
Molecule: ribosomal RNA, 253 nt
Filed under: uncultured bacterium
Lineage: Bacteria
Description: partial 16S ribosomal RNA
Rfam family: Bacterial small subunit ribosomal RNA
Source: RNAcentral